AAAUUGCAAAAAUAUGAAAAACCUGCAUUCGGAAAUACAGGAACUUAGAGGUAUUGUGGAAGGUCAAAAUAAAAUUAUUAUGCGGACGCUGGCGGAACAUAAUAUAUUACUAAAGCGGCUUAUAUACCAGGAAUAUAUUUCUGAUGAUGUGCUUAAAUAUUUUCCUUUGAAGUCAUUGGAGGAUUUGAAAGAAAUUGACGAAAAAAUAUGCGGAGCAAGCAGACCAAUUUUUAUCAAAGCACUGAAGGAGCUAACGAAGGGAAAGUGAACAAAAAAAUUGGAUAAUAUAAUCAGCACUGAAGUUAUCAUGUCCAUAAACAUUGAUGGAGUCUACGGAAAGCAAGGACUGAAAGAAUAUAGACAAUUCUUCGAUACUUUGUUAGUUGCGAUCGAUAGUCCUGACCCAAUCCAGGAGCUCCGUACUGCAAUAGAAGUUAUAAAGAAACGAUAUUUUCUCAAAGUCAGCAUUCGAAAAAAUUCCACAAAAAUAAUUUAUAUCAUAUCUAUUAUUUUAAUUAGUAUGAAUUAAAGAAAAAGCCAUUUGCAGCCCGCGAUAAAAGACAGCAGAUAAACACUUUGACAAGCUUUGACUAUUUUUUGUUAUUUUAUUAAUGUUCACAAUUAUUAUUUUUUUUAAUAUAGCUCAUGGUCUAACGAAGACUACAUAUAUAAAUUCAAAAUUUUAAACUUGGUACAUAAAUGUCACAAGCUUUUUAUCACAAUUCUAAGGUUUUUAAUUAGAUAAAAAAAAUUAAAAUCCCGUUGAUUUUUUUAUAUAUUUUUUUUAGCUUACAGUGUUAGGAACUUUCUUCCAUAAAAAGUAUAAAAAAUCAACGGUAUUUUAAGCAACUUAAAAGGUGUACAUUUCUUUACUUAUAUUUAAUAAUCUUUUAUAGCGUACCAAAAAUGUUUCUAGAAACUCUAAUGUAAAACCUUAGAAUUGUGAUAAAAAGAUUGACAUUUGUGUACCAAGUUUGAAAUUUGAAUUUAUAUAUGUAGUCUUCGUUAUACAAUGAGCUACAUAUACU
Molecule: long non-coding RNA, 1028 nt
Organism: Rhagoletis pomonella (apple maggot)
Lineage: Eukaryota; Metazoa; Arthropoda; Insecta; Diptera; Tephritidae
Exons: 4
Source: RefSeq, a predicted model, not a curated record